UGUAAAAACCUGCAAUGCGAGAAAGUUGGAAAAGUGGCAUAAUCUCUGCUUCCUGGGAUUUUGUGGUGAGAAGUAAGAAAUCUGGGAAGGGAAGAUUCUUUCCUCUGUUGAACUGAUGAAAUUGAUCAUGAGUAGGCCAUCUACGAUCCCAAAAAGAUAUUUUGCAAGACUUGGAUUAACCAUAUGAUAUGGUUUUGAAACCCAAAGUAUACAGCCAAAUACAAUACUAGAUGAAAAGCCCCAACGUAUAAUGCCCGAGGAAUCUUUCCACAUGAGGGGACAACUAAUUGGAAGGAAAAAAAAAACUGUAUGCUCUCCUAUCGUACCAACACUUACUUGUGACUCUUCCACCCCUAUUUGUAACCACAUUGAUUUAUUUUUUCUAUGUUCAAUUACAUGCUCAUGUCGGGAAAAUUUUUUUCCC
Molecule: long non-coding RNA, 424 nt
Organism: Macadamia integrifolia
Lineage: Eukaryota; Viridiplantae; Streptophyta; Magnoliopsida; Proteales; Proteaceae
Exons: 2
Source: RefSeq, a predicted model, not a curated record